RNAcentral lists this ribosomal RNA (411 nucleotides) under Actinomycetes bacterium. RNAcentral's name for it is "Actinobacteria bacterium partial 16S ribosomal RNA". It matches the Rfam family "Bacterial small subunit ribosomal RNA", at positions 355 to 776 of the family's 1533-position model. Lineage: Bacteria; Bacillati; Actinomycetota; Actinomycetes. The record is from RNAcentral.
UGGGGAAUAUUGCACAAUGGGCGCAAGCCUGAUGCAGCGACGCCGCGUGGGGGAUGACGGCCUUCGGGUUGUAAACUCCUUUCGCUAGGGACGAAGCUUUUUGUGACGGUACCUAGAUAAGAAGCACCGGCUAACUACGUGCCAGCAGCCGCGGUAAUACGUAGGGUGCGAGCGUUGUCCGGAAUUACUGGGCGUAAAGGGCUCGUAGGUGGUUUGUCGCGUCGUCUGUGAAAUUCCGGGGCUUAACUCCGGGCGUGCAGGCGAUACGGGCAUAACUUGAGUACUGUAGGGGUAGCUGGAAUUCCUGGUGUAGCGGUGAAAUGCGCAGAUAUCAGGGGGAACACCGAUGGCGAAGGCAGGUUACUGGGCAGUUACUGACGCUGAGGAGCGAAAGCAUGGGUAGCGAACAGG